UCGAGGAGAGCUCAGUUGGUUAGAGCGUCUGGUCAGAGCCCAGAAGGUCGAGGGUUCAACUCCCUCCACUCGCCCCA
Molecule: transfer RNA, 77 nt
Filed under: Candidatus Peregrinibacteria bacterium CG10_big_fil_rev_8_21_14_0_10_55_24
Lineage: Bacteria; Candidatus Peregrinibacteriota
Description: tRNA-Ser
Rfam family: tRNA (bases 9-66)
About the family: Transfer RNA (tRNA) molecules are approximately 80 nucleotides in length. Their secondary structure includes four short double-helical elements and three loops (D, anti-codon, and T loops).
Source: RNAcentral